CGGGACGUAGCACAGCUUGGUAGUGCGCUCGCUUUGGGAGCGAGAGGUCGAGUGUUCGAAUCACUCCGUCCCGACCA
RNAcentral lists this transfer RNA (77 nucleotides) under Escherichia coli. RNAcentral describes it as "tRNA-Pro". It matches the Rfam family "tRNA". From Rfam's summary of the family: Transfer RNA (tRNA) molecules are approximately 80 nucleotides in length. Their secondary structure includes four short double-helical elements and three loops (D, anti-codon, and T loops). The record is from RNAcentral. Lineage: Bacteria; Pseudomonadati; Pseudomonadota; Gammaproteobacteria; Enterobacterales; Enterobacteriaceae. RNAcentral also lists the same sequence under 7 other names.